This 8663-nucleotide long non-coding RNA is filed under the name Capsicum annuum. Its description in RNAcentral is "long non-coding RNA (CANN_LNC004663)". Lineage: Eukaryota; Viridiplantae; Streptophyta; Magnoliopsida; Solanales; Solanaceae. The record is from RNAcentral.
CUGCACACCGGCCCCUUACUCCCUCCCUAAAACCCCUUACUCCCUCCCUAAAAAUGAAAAAUGAAUUAAAUAAAUGUGAAGGAGGAGUGACAAAGUGUGCACCCCUUAGUCCUUCAUGGUUAAAAUGGGAGAUAUCAAAUCUAUUUUGCUCGUGAUGGGGAUGAUGCUUGUAUGGUGGAGGUAUGUAUCUGCAUUCAGAUAUGCUUUUCUCCAAGAUUAUAGCAGCAUGUUUAUGCUUUUUUAUGUUUCAACUCUUUCACAUGUAAAUUUGUUGCAUAUGCAAAUCACCCUAUGUGGGUUAUUUGAGAAAUUUCUGCUGCCCAUUUUUGAAAUUAUCUAGUGUUGCUGCCUAAUUAAACUGUUUGAUUUGGAUCCUUACCGUCGUCCAUAUAUGGACUUGCAGAUUGAGUCUCAUUGUCCUUGACACUCAGCUUUGUACUUAGAUUUAAGAAUCCAUUGAGUACAACUAAUGUAAAGUGCUUCUGCUAGUCAACAUAUUCUGAACCUUGAUAGCAGACAAUUUUUUCUUAGAUUAGCUAAAUGCUUGCUGUGCUAAAUGCUUCAGCAACAUUACAAUUCAGCUGUUGCAAACCACAAGAAAAUUAUUGUCCAAUGGAGGACACUGGGAAUAAGAAGCAUUUUCCUUAUUCCGACAUAGAUUGCAAUUACUUCUAGAGAGGACAGGGGCCAGAGGACCAUUUAUGUUCCUUAUUAAGAAUGUAUUUCAGCACAGCGGUACUGCUUAUAUCAACUUACCUGUGGAAGGGAAGGUUUAGAGUAGUGAGUUUCGAAGUAAUUGAAUUUUGAGCGGGAAUUUCUUUUGGAAGUAAAAUUUAAGCUGUCUAAAAACCAGCAUCUACUUGGAUGAUCUAAGAAGAUGAACCCAACUUAGCUUGAUUUCUAGAUCUGCUUGGAACACACCCUUAUUUGCAGGUUCUCCUCCCCUUUCCUUGUUGUGUACUUCCUUUUUAAGCAGUAUAUCUGACUACUUGGUAGUUAUCUGCUUACAUAGCUGCUAGUCCAUUAGCACAAGGUGCUCUCAUAUUCUUGAACUUGGAAUAGUUAGUAUAAUGUUGUUAGGCUGCACAUUUCUAGGCAUUGCUCAAGCCAUCUAUCAUCAGUCCCUUUUAAAGGAGUUUUUUCUAGUUUCAUUUGAUCCCCCCACACUGAACUUUGUAGCUGAUAAUUAAGCGCAUAAUGGCAUUGUACAAGCAUUACAUUCCUUGAGCUGAGGGUCUAUCGGAAACAACCUAUCUACCUCCAAGAUAGGGUUAAGGUCUGCGUACACUUAUCCUCCCAGACCCACUUUGUGGUAUUACAUUGGGUAUGUCAAGCAUUACAUUCUUCAUUUUGAGGACUUAUCCUGUGGUCUAUUGCAAGUACCGAGAGUCAUUUUUCAAGAAAUUCAAUGUGCAAGCUUUAAGUGCUAGAUGAAAUAUAGAGGAUGCAAUUUUUCUUUUGUCUUUUACCAUGGUUGUCUUGUAAGCAUUAACCCUUAGAUGUUCUGUUGAGGACUUCAAAAUCCUGGUUUGUCGUUGCAACCAUUGUUGUCAAAGGUGAAAAUUGUAGAAAACACCAAGGUUUGCUAGGGUUUGGAGCAUACAGUGCAACUAAAGCGCACACUUCUGUAAGGAAAAACCCAUAACGAAGUAACAAUUAUGCUGCACUUACUAUACAGAACAAAGAAAAUAAUACACCAAAUAACAGUGUAAAUGGGUAGAUGAACAGAAACCUUCACAAUGAAGUAAAAUAUAUGGAUGGAAAACUAUGUUAAUCCCUACUUCAUCUGAAAACAACAACAACAACAACAAACCCAGUGUAUUCCCACCUAGUGGGGUCUGGGGGGUAAGAUGUACGCAGUCCAUACCACUACUUCAGGAGAAGUAGAAAGGCUGUUUUCGAUAGACCCCCGGCUCAAGGCAAGGAGUAAUAAACAAAUACUUAAUAAAGCAUGGAACAAGAUGUCAAGACAUAAAUACGACACCCACAAGGAAUAAUAAACAAAGAAGAGUAACCACAUUCGUAAUAAGGCAUGCAACAAAGUGUCCUAGUAAGAAUAAUACAUCUACCAAGUAAUGUCCUACCCCACGACUCAAACUGUCACUAGCCUUCUAUCCUAAUUCGCGUCCUCCAGAUCUUCCUAUCUAAAGUCAUGUCCUCAGUGAGCUGUAACUGCUCCAUGUUCCGCCUGAUCACCUCUCUCCAGUAUUUCUUUGGCCUACCCCUACCCCGUAUGAAACCAUCCAACGCAAGCUUCUCACACCUACGAACCGGGGCAUUCGUGCCUCUCCUCAUCACAUGCCCGGACCAUCUCAAUCGGACUUCCUGCAUCUUGUCCUCCACCGAAGCCACUCCAACCUUCUCCCGAAUAGUCUCAUUUCGAACUCUAUCACCCCUAUUAAGCCCACACAUCCAACGCAACAUCCGCAUUUCCACCACAUUUAAUUUUUGAAUGUGAGAGUUUUUGACUAGCCAGCAUUCCGCUCCAUACAACAUGGCUGGACGGACUGCCACCCUGUAGAAUUUGCCUUUAAGCUUGGGCGACACCUUCCUAUCACACAACACCCCCGAGGCGAGCUUCCACUUGAUCCAUCCCGCCCCAAUGCGGUGGGAGACAUCCUCGUCAAUCUCACCAUCUCCCUGAAUCAUGGACCCCAGAUACUUGAAACUAUCCCUCUUACACACCGUCUGGGAAUCCAACCUUACUACCACCUCGUCUUCCUGCCUUACGCCAUUAAACUUGUAUUCCAAAUAUUUUGUCUUGCUCCUGCUCAACCUGAACCCUUUAGACUCAAGGGUCUGUCUCCAUAGCUCUAAUUUAAUAUCCCCCGCGUCUUAUCAAUCAAAACUACAUCAUCUGAAAAAAAGCAUACACCAAGGCACCUCUCCUUGAAUACGCCGCGACAACACAUCUAUCACCAGAGCAAACAAAAACGGGCUAAGAGUGGAACCCUGGUGCAACCCCGUCAAAACAAGGAAAUGCUCCGAAUCUCCUCCCGCCGUCCUCACUUGAGUCGUGGCUCCAUUAUACAUGUCCUUGAUUGCUCUAAUAUACGCCAUCGGUACCCCACUCACCUCCAAGCAUCUCCAAAGCACCUCCCUAAGGACUUUAUCGUACGCCUUCUCCAAGUCGAUAAACACCAUGUGCAGAUCUCUCUUUCUUUCCCUGUACUGUUCCACCAGUCUCCCUAUACUCUACUUCAUCUGAAAAAAGAAACUAAAAACGAUAUUAAUCCUUUCUUCAUCAGAAAAAAGAAAAGAAAAACCAUGUUAAUCAAGUUCAGAAAACCAUCUUAGGUUCCAGACAUAGGUUUCACUUUGAAAUCCAUAUCUAGUUAUUGGUUUCUUAUACUACAUUUGUAAUAUACUGUAAGGGAUCAUUUGGUUUGUGAACAGGUUUGUACUGGGGUCAUAAUCAACAACAGCAACAUACCAAGUGUAUUCCCACAUAGUGGGGUCUAGGGAGGGUAGAGUGUACGCAGAUCGUACCACUACCUGAGGUGAAGUAGAGAGGCUAUUUCCGAUAGACCCCCGACUUACGACCGAUAACAGUAUAGCAAUCACAAAACAUAAACGCGUAUAGACUAGUACAGUAUGCAAAAUAAACUAACACUGCUAUCCACAAAAUAAUACUACAACCACCAGUCAGUACUAAAAACUAUCUAUUCGAAAUCAUAGACAUCACUCAACACCACGAACAAGAAACUUCAAACACAAAUAAAGAACGCUCUCUACUGUAACCGACACACUCCCACCCCCUAACCCUCUAUCCUAAUCCGCGUCUUCCACACUUUUCUAUCAAGGAUCAUGUCCUCUGUAAGCUGUAACUGCUCUAUAUCAUGCCUAAUCACCUCCCUCCAAUAUUUCUUCGGCCUAACUCUACCCUGCCUAAAACCAUCCGUAGCCAGUGUGUCACACCUCCGCACUGGAGCAUCAAAGCCCCUUCUUAUCACGUGACUGAACCAACGUAACCACACUUCUCACAUUUUGUCCUCCACCGAAGCUACCCCCACCUUCUCCCGAAUAAUCUCAUUCCUCACCCCAUCUUUACUGGUAUGGCCACACAUCCAUCACAACAUUCUUAUCUCUGCCACCUUCAACUUUUGGAUGUGGGAGUUCUUAACUGGCCGACACUACGCACUAUACAACAUAGCCGGUCGAACUGCCACUCUGUAGAACUUACCUUUAAACUUCGAUGUGACCUUCUUAUCACAUAAAAAUCCCGAAGCGUGCCUCCAUUUCAACCACCUUGCCCCAAUACGAUGCGUGACAUCCUCGUCAAUCUCACCAUUGCCCUGAAUCAUAGAUCCUAGAUACUUGAAACUCUCCCUCUUCGGAAUGGCCUGAGAGUCCAUCUUCACAACCACGUCAGCCUCCUGCGACACAUCACUAAACUUACACUCUAAGAACUUCGUCUUGGUCCUGCUCAACUGAAAUCCUUUAGACUCAAGGGUCUGUCUCCAAAUCUUCAACUUAUCAUUAACUCCUCUCCGAGUCUCGUCAAUCAGUACCACAUCAUCAACAAAUAACAUACACCAAGGAACCUCCCCUUGAAUAUAUCGUGUCAAAAUAUCUAUCACCAAGACAAAUAAAAAAGGGCUAAGAGUCGAUCCCUGGUGCAAACCUAUCAAAACCGUGAAGUGCUCCAAAUCACCACCCACUAUCCUCACACGAGUCUUUGCGCCAUCAUAUAUGUCCUGAAUCGACCUGGUGUACGUCAUGGGCACCUCUCUAGCCUCCAAACACCAACACAGAAUCUCUCUGGGAACUCUGUCACAUGCUUUCUCAAGAUCAAUAAAUACCAUGUGCAAGUCCUUCCUCUCUCGAAACUGCUCCACUAAUCUCCUCACAAGGUGAAUGGCCUCCGUAAUCGAGUGACCUGACAUGAAACCGAACUGAUUCUCCGAGAUAGUCACGAUCCUUCUCAGCCUCAACUCUACUACCCUUUCCCAAACCUUCAUAGUAUGACUCAACAACUUGAUACCUCUAUAAUUGUUGCAACUCCGGAUGUCUCCCUUGUUCUUAUACAAUGGUAUCAUCGUACUCCACCUCUACGCUUGAGGCAUCUUCGCCGCCCUAAAAAGAUGUUAAACAACCGUGUCAACACUCCAAACCUGCCCCGCUAGUGCUAUUCCAAAAAUCCACCGGAAUCCCGUCUGGUCUCGUUGCCCUACCCCGACGCAUCCUACGAAUAGCCCCCUUGACCUCCUCAACCUUGAUGCGCCUGCUAUAACUAUAAUCGCGACACUUCUCAGAUAUCUCCAAGUCCCCCAACACAAAACCUUUGUCCCCCUCGUCGUUCAAAAGUUUAUUAAAAUAGGACUGCCACCUUUCCUAAUGAGGGCAUCCUCAACCAACACUGUACCAUCCUCUCUCUUAUAGUCUCUACAAAUCGCUCUAUCACCCUUUCAAAGGAGCAAAAAGUCUAUCUGGGUCUUGGCCACCGAACUACGAAAGGUAAUAAGAUGUUCCUCCCUCUUCGGGAUUCACCCCCCACAACCCAAAAUCCCUAGCAAAAUUCAAAAGAGAAACUCCUCCAUUUCGAUCCCCGAAACCGAAACCGCCAUGCACUACUGGGGUCAUAAUUUGGAGAUUAAAUAUCGACGAGAUUAUUUAGUGAAUAUAGUUUUAUUGGUAGAUGUUUGGUUUAUUAUAUUAAAAAUGGGAUAUUGUACCUAUAAUAUUAAACAUGUGGUUGGCUGGUUUUAUACUAGAUAAACUUGGUAAACUUUUAUUUUUAAUUUUAAUUUUGGCCUUUUAAAGGACUUUGGGAGAAGAGUUUUUGAGAAGGGCAUAUUUUCCAUAUUGUUGUUUUAUCCCUGGGUCAGUCAUCCUAGGAUUGUUAUCUUGCAUUGAGCAUGGUAUGAAAAUAAUACCACAAUUGUGGUAUAGAUAAUUCCGGAAUUGCUUAUACUAGAAUUAAAAAUUCAACCAAGUGCGGGAUAUAAUAUUAAUAAUCCCAUACCAUGAGGCAUGAGAUGUUAGGUUCAAAUCCUACCAGAGACAAAAACACUAGGUAAUUUCUUCCCCGUUUGUCACACCCUGGGUAGACGGAGUUACCUGGUACUGUGGUGGGUGGGAGGUGGCAUGUACCUUGAGGAAUUAGUAGAGGUGCGCGAAAGCUGGGCUGGACACCACGGUUAUCAAAAAAGAAAUCAAAAGAAAAUAAUAAUCUCAUAUUGUAUCCUGGGAUUAUUAUGCCAUCCUUGUAACAGUGCGGUCCCUAAUAGAAUAGUUUUGCCAGAUAUGAUUAUUGUCUAUUGCUGCUGUUUUCAAGGGAAUCCAUGGGUGUCAUGUGCUUACAUUCUUUUCCAGGAAGUACUUGGUUGGCUAGUUGUUCUGCAGGAUUCAGCACACUUGUGCCUUCACUGAACAGUUGCAGUGAGGUGCAGUGACCAACCUGCUCUUCUCCUCUAUUAAGUGUGCCUUUUUGACAUUACUGAUUGUGACUGACUGACAAUGAUCCCGUGAAAUUGUAUCUGGUAAUUCAGGAGGUUCCAUGUAUUUGCACAGCCAAAUGUUCUUUAGCAGAAACCCUUGGUCGUCCGAUGGAGCAUAAAUGAGAUAUGUCCCUUCCAUACUAAUAUUUCAAAGGGCUUUUGACCCUCCAUCUUGUGUGAAGGAGAACAUGCUAUAGCUUAAGGAAGUUUGUAGUGAUCAACAAUCUGAAUUUUGGGGUUGAGUUGAAGUAUCCCCUGCAUGAAGUUCCCCUGACCUGAUGGAAUUCUGGUUCCAAUUUACCGGAGGUUGACUUAGUCAUGCUAAACUUUGAUUGAUUCAAAAUCAUAUUAGCUGUAGGUCGUAUAUUUUUUGCAGAAAUAUACAGUUAGUGUUUCCAACUAUUGUAGGUUGCUUUUGAUUAGGUACUGCCUGUUAAUACUUUAUACAACAAAGAGGAUCUUACCAAAUAAACAGAGGGUAAAGAAAACCAUAUGCUCCAGUCUACAUUUCUCUGCUCGCGUCAAUAGAUCAAUGAGAUGUUGCUCAUCUUGUUCAUCAGGAGAUAUAAAUACCCCUGUUCUGAUCUAUGGCCUUUUUGUUAAUAGAUCUUCUCUUUUUGUUUUUCAUUUUUUUGAUAAAUUGAUUUUUAUUUUUAUUUCUUGUUGCUUGCCUGAUUUUUUUGUUCGUUCUCCCGUCUUCCAAAAUUGGUCUGUGAAAGAAUUCCUAUUAUAUAUGUCCAAUGGACCACAAUCGUUAAUGUGUUAAAUCUAGAUUUAUUUCUGGCAAGACCAUAACUGCAUAAGCAUGAAUAAUUUUCAAGCUAAAUGCAAUCAUUUUGUAAAAGGCUUGGCAUCUUGGUCCAUGUAGGAGGUGUAAUCAGUUGACCUAAGCCGAGCUUCAAAGGGGUUUGACUUUUGUUCGAGUAGCAGACGAGCCUAUGGAUGCUCGAAGUUGACUUGGUUGAAGACACUCUGCCCUUGGAACUUGGCUAGGCUUGUGUACAAACUGAGCUGAGCAUAAACUGAUACCCCAGCAUGCCAAAGAACCAAUAUCACAUGAAAUAUUGGUGUAAAGAUAAUAACGGCUUGACUGACAUUUUUCUGGAUUUGCUAUGAAUAGCCAAACCCAAAGAUAGAGAGAUAGAUAGAUAGAGAGAGAGAGAGCACAGGAGAAUUGGCGUAAACAAUUAAAAAACAAAGGAAUCUUGUGGCUGCCGGCUGGUGUUACUGCUAUGGCUGUCAAUGAGGGGCUUUAGAAGCUGAUGGUAGUAUUGUGAGAAGAGGGCAAAGAAGCUGAACAGAAUAAAAUUUGUGGAGGAGGACUCAAAAGGGAAGGGGAAUGAUUAGAUAAAAGACAACAAGAAUGAUGAGGUCGUUGAUAGGAAAAGAUUAAUGAUUCUGUUGGAGAUUGGGAUAGAAGGUGUAACUUGCGAGGGAGUAAUUGCACUUAUGCAGUGCAUUUGGUACCCAAAACCCUAGAUGUCAUUUUCAUUUAGACCUAGAAGUAAAAAGGUAGUUGGUAAAAGUUAACAGUCUUGGUCUCGCUUCUUCAAGCCUGCUUAUCCAACAAUCAAGCUCAAUAGGGAGCUCAAGUUUAUGACUUGGUCUAAUAAGACUAGUACUUGAGCUAAAGGGAGCCAACUGCCAAACUGAGCUUUUUCAGCAAAUAGCUUGGCUAAUGCACAACUGUAGUUAGCAUGUUAAGAUUUAGUGGUUUAUUCUUGAAUGGUUCCUUUAUUCCUAGCUUGGUUGUGUUUGCUUGUUAGUCGAUCCUUGAUUCCAGCAAGCAACUUCAAGCUUCUCUUCCCCCUUUUUUUCUGUUGCUGUUUCAGCUUUUUAAGUUUCUUCUAUGUGCUUAGCUUUACAUGUGGAUGUCAUCAACUUAAUGACAGUUUUUCUGUGUGAUCUGCGGUAGACCGAUCUCUCUUUUUGACAGUCAUGUAAAAAGAGAAACUGUAUCUGUUUUUUAAUUACUUAGUUCAGUCAACCAUUUAUAGGUGGACUUUUACUGACAUCUUUUACCGGAAGCUGCAUUUGAAGAUUCUGAAGACUCGUGGCAAAGAAACUAAAAGUUAUGUACUGCAUGCACUCUAGCUGUAGAAGCAGUUGUCAAUAUCACAAAAUACCAAAAAGCUUCUAUGCUUCUUACAAGUUAGAUGCGUCCAUACUCCAUAGAAUUUUCUGUCUGCAGUCUCUCUUAUAGCAUGGCGAUUUCUGCUGGAU